GGGGAGGUAGGCCCUCUUUAGGGACCUACCUCACCACUAACUCGCUAAAGAUUAACGAGUUAUGUGGAGGAAACUCAGAUUUCCUACCUAAAUCCAUGUAUCUGCAUGGAACCAUAACAGGUUACGAGCUAGUAGUUUGCCGCUUAGGCGGCGAUGUUAUGAUCACCCUCAUAACGAGGUUGGUCUGACAUUUUAGAAACUGCCAGACCUAUUAGAAACUGAAUCUUUACCGAUUCGGCUAGUAGGUCUUCUAAGAACCACAAUAGCUCUUCCUGAUGGUUAGUUUAACAUUUCGGUGUUAGCUAAACUACUCCUUACUCGAAGGAGGUCCACUUAGGGGGACAAAGUCAGGUCUCUCUAUUAGUCUUGCGACUAAUAAACCGGGACUCGUAUCUGAUAUAUCAACAUGAUGUAUCCAGACUACGGUUUUCACGCUCAGUGCCUUAGGCAUCGCACACGCCUCCCGACUAAAGGAGGGGGUUUAUGUUUUACACGUGUGUACGGGCAAAGCUACCCUUGUAGCCUAUCAACCUAUGUUGGUAGAUCAAUACCGUCUGACCGAAAUGAGGUUCUCCCAAAAGGUUUUCUCCUUUUAUGGUUUAUCCUCACCCCGGACGUUCAGGGCCUUUUCCAUCAGUUAGGAAAAGGAUUCCAUUCUUACGAAGGAUAGUACGGAAUUUUACCGCUCUACCCCUUUCUAAAAACCCAACGUUCGCCGGGGCUCAAAGAAACUGGAUCUGGAUAUGCUUGAUAAGGGCAUAUCCCCC
This 767-nucleotide unclassified non-coding RNA is filed under the name Clarireedia homoeocarpa. The record is from RNAcentral. Lineage: Eukaryota; Fungi; Ascomycota; Leotiomycetes; Helotiales; Rutstroemiaceae.